AUGGUUGCAGCAAUGCAGACUACCGUAGCUAGCGAGGGAGAUCCGCGGCUUUGCUCAUGCGGGAACAAGAUCUCAUGCAAAGACACACACCAGGUCUGCUCUGCAUGUCUUGGGCUGAAACAUGCUCAAAUGGCGGUCGAUAGUCCCGGAUCCUGUGAGCACUGCGCGCGUUUCAUCAUGAAGAGCCUCUGUCGCAGGUUAGCACACCAAGCUAGCUUGUCUGGCCAUGAUCCCCUCAUGUCAGCUAGUCCUGCUCCGGUUUCCGCCCCUCAGGUACCCAUUCCUGUAGAGCUGCCCACCACAGCAACUCUAUCGUGGGGUGAACAACUGGAUGUAUGCGCCCCUCUGGCCGGUGUCCUCAGCACGGACGAGGAGGAGGAGGAGGGCGCAUUUGAAUUUGAGGAAGAGGGGCAAUUGGAUUUCCUUCUCUCUGAUUUCAAGGAUUCCCCUUUUCUCCCCCCUGCACAAUCGGCACAAUCCCUCGCUACGGCGGGAUCCACGGAGGAGGCAGGCGGGGCACCAUCCUCUCCGCUUCUUAGUGUGGAUCUGCAAGAUGUGUGCAAACGCGCUGCAGAGAAACUCAAUAUUCCGUGGCCGACCGUAAUAGCUGAGACUGCAAAGUCGCGUUAUGAGGGGAAAAGGCUGCUGAGAGAUAAAUGGGCAGCGAGACAACUCCUUCCAAUCUUUCCAGAGCUUCUGGAAGAGGUUUCUGUCAUCUGGAAGGACAACCCUUUUACUAGUAAAAUGCCCGUGCAAGGGGGAUCUGCGCUCGACGUGGAGGGUAUGGAGAAGGAGGGCCUUCUUCGCAUGCCCCCCAUGGAGCCUUUAGUUGCAGCGCAUCUGCAUCCAAAGCGUACGGCGGCUGCAAACCCAACGUUGCCAUCAAAAGCGGACCGCUUCCAGUCAAGCAUGACGGAGCGCGCUUACAAAGCAGUCGCUCUCUCAGUCCGGGCCAUGAACGCCAUCUCUCUGCUCACCGCAUACCAGGCAGAGCUACAAGACGAGAUGUCUGCCACGCCAAGUCAGACACAGUGGGAAGAAACACAGAUCUCUCGCUCCGUCUUCAGAGAUGUGCCGUUCAGGCUGCGGGCAAGGCCAUGGCCACAAUGGUCAUUCAGGAGAGAGGACACUGGCUUUAUUUGGCGAAUCUCUCUGACAGAGAAAAGGAAGCCAUCUUAG
Long non-coding RNA from Cyprinus carpio carpio, 1179 nucleotides. The record is from Ensembl. NCBI's taxonomy places the organism in Eukaryota, Metazoa, Chordata, Actinopteri, Cypriniformes, Cyprinidae.